This is a long non-coding RNA of Corvus hawaiiensis (hawaiian crow), 13368 nucleotides long. RefSeq lists it as uncharacterized. The record is from RefSeq and is a predicted model, not a curated record. The transcript has 6 exons. Lineage: Eukaryota; Metazoa; Chordata; Aves; Passeriformes; Corvidae.
UCCACGACUAGGCUGGCAGGGACCCCAGGAUGGGAAUGAGUGGAUAACCAGGAUGGAGCUUGGAACUGAAACAUUUCUGAAGAGAACUGUGCUAGCAACUGUAAUUUUUACAGAUGUAUAUAUAGAUAGAUAUGUAUAUAUGCAUGAGGUUUUUUAAGGCUUUUCUGAAGUUGCAGUCUGAAUGCCAAAUUUCACUGCUCAUCUCUACUACUAAGCUAAAAAAAUGUUGGUAGCUAGGAAACAAAGUGAAGUAGUAAAGCUCCAUUUCUAACAUGAUGUGGUUAGGAUAUUUUGGGGAACAGUGAUGCUGCUCCUACUUUGUAAAACCAUACUAGGGGGUUGAAAAGCUAGAUAUAAAAGCUAAACACAGUUUCCUUCCAUGCCUUAGAAGACAUCUCACUGUCAUGUAGUCUUAACUGGCCUUCCAUGGCUUUCAAUGUGCUUUAAACUAUGCAUUGUUGACAGCUUACAUUUUAAACUUUUCUCAGGAUGGACAAUGAAGUUGGUCUGACACACUUAAGAUUAGUUUCUGGUUUCUGUGUAUUGGGUGGGAAUAGGGUGGGUACUUGCCAGAAUGAAAAAAUACUAAUUUGGAAGAGAGGGGGAGAAAAUCCGGAGAGCAUCCCCAGUCAAGCUAGUUUUUGCAGUUGUUUGCAGAAAAAGAUUUUGCCCCGAUGUUUUUAUGUAUUUCAGGAUAGAAAGGGAGAGUGAAAUAAGGUGGUUUCAGUUGAGAGGUUUCUGUUGAAAGGUAACUGUGCACAAGGUAGAGGACAAAACUCCUUGUAGAUAAGUACCCAGUCACAAAAACUGAUGUGCCUUGUACAAGCUGAUCGUGCUAAAGGGGAUGUACCUUUACAGGCAAGCCAGCAAUUGUUAUCUUCCCAGGAUGUGCAGUGAGCAGCUCAGACGUGCACAAAGGCCUCAGCCGUGUACGACAUUAGGUCUGCAGGUCUGUAAGCAGAUCGGAUGUCCUCACACCAAGCUCCCCUUUUGAGUCAGCUCAGCUCCUCUCCCAGAGGUCAGAGGAGACACAGGAAAGGUCCCUGAGCAGGCAAUGGAAACACUGAAAGGGAGGUGAGGCUUGAAUGCAGAUAAGAGGAGUGAAAACUAAUUUAUCUGAAAAAGCACUGUCAUUGUGGGGUAUAAAAUAAUGACUGGGAAGACCCUUUUAUUUACUGAGAGGCAAUAAUAGCAGAGGGCAGAUGAUAACACUGAGAGGGUGACAUUUUAGGGCUCUUUCAUCUAGGAGAGAGAGGCAUAACAAGCAACGGGGGUUGCAGUUUCAAGCCUGGCAAAUGUAAAUAAGAAAUGAGGCACGUUGCACACGGGGAGCUGGCAUACAUUGAAACAGGGUUUGUGUGGAGAUUGUGUGGGGCUCACCAUCUCUUAAUGGCUUUUUGUCCAUAAAAUGGCUUUUUGGGAGAUAAAAACAAAUUACUGAUCUCAACUGCAGCGAUGGCUGAAAUUCAGUGGUGGAGCAUUGGUCAGGCUAAGAAUUCCUGCCUUUUCUUCAUUCGGGUGGAGACUUGACUGAAAAAUACCCCCCCUUACCCAAGCAGCUCAGCCAUAGGGAGUGUCUCAGGGUGGUGGUGAGUGCAGUCACCUUCUUAAGGGGCUGUGACAUUUGCACGGCCAAGAAAAGGGUGCAUCCCUUUAUUGCCUGGGGGAAAGCGGGAUUAGUCUGUGUGGAAGCAGCUGCAGGCAAUGGCCUUUGAGUGGAGGCCUGAGGCCAGGAGGAGUCCUUGUGGUGUCUGCAGGAACAUGUCCACUGCCACACUUGUUGACCUAGGACAGCCACUCUGAGAGCUGUACUGGGCGGUCCCUCCUGUCCUUGACAACCUGCCUUCCUGGGAAAAAAAAAUGCUUGAGCCUCGGCACCCUGUAAGUGCUUCCAGCAGCUUGUGCCAGGCCUGCUCAGAGUCACCAUCCCCACUCCUUGGGAAGCCUUUCUGUGAAGGCUCUGUAGACAUUUCAGGACAAGCCUCUGCAUCCUUUCUUUCCCCUGCUCACAAAUGUUUCCAAGGCUCAUCCAUAGCAUCAGUGCAUGUUUCCCUUGGACCUUUCAGGAUCCCCUCCUGUUGUGUGCCCCUAGGGCAGAGACCUCCGUGUGCUCCCCUGUUUAACCUUGCCUCCUGUUCCCAAAAUCUCCAUUCCUGUGAAAUAUCCUAAGCCUCCCAUAGGCUCAGCUAAUGUGCUGUGACACAUCCUGCUAAUCUGCAAGCAGCUGCCCAGGCUGCCAGCACAUCCCAAGGUUUUGGGGUAAGGGCAGUCCAUGAUGAAAGCCCUACCUUGCCUCUGGCAUGCAGAGUGGGUCAAGUACUGCACAGGAGGUAGAAAAACACCUGCCAGUGAUGACUAAGUAUUAAUGUUUUCCCAGAAAGUGGCAAAUCUCUCAGCCUGGAGUCCAUCAUCAUAAAUAAUUUUUGUUUUAAAAGCAAACAAACAAACCAGUGGAAGUCUCCCAGCAGCAGGUGCUGCCUCCAUGUGAAACCCAGCCUCACAACCCAUGGUUCGCAAUUGCCUGUUUAUUCUGUCUGCUAUUUAUAGUUGGUCAAACCUUUCCAUCCUGCCUCGUGUUUCCUGCUUCCUCUAUCUUACUAAUGAAUGUAUUUACUGUUAGUAUUUUAAUAAAACAAACAAAAAAUUGUAUGAAAAAUACUGCCUUUGGCCAGGGUGCUGCUGGCUUGAGUUGUUCGGGAGGACACAGGCCAGCUGGGGAAGCUUGUGCUGUAAUGGAUGCUGGAGAAACAGUGAGAUGGGAAAAGAGGUGGUGCACAUCUAAAGCACGGGGCAGAGAUCAAGAAUGACAGGACUGCGUCUGUCUUCAUGGGGUGAACCGCAUUAUUUUCACUGGCUUUGUCUGAACCACCCCUCAUCUUGUGCCAGCUGGUUGUUGCUGGUCCCAGCUAGGGCAGCCCCAGCUCCAGCUGUGGCAAGUGGGCCCCUGGCUAGAAGGCAUGACAGACAUGGGAAAACCAACGUUGUGUCAGUCCAAGGGGAAGCUGUUUAACGCAGAGACUGGCUGACCGUGCUUGUGGAGAAGUUUGGCUGGGACACGGAUGCUGCAGGUGAUUGCAGGCUGGUGGCUGUAGCUGCUUGGUGAAGGUAGACAGUGACUCUGCAGCUGAAACCACUCUGAAAAACUGUGACAGAGAAGUGUCCUGAAAUCUCUGGGAUAGGUGACACUGGCCAACAUGGAAUAAAUGAAUUGAACAACCUGUGUACAAAAAACCACCGACGUGCCACUGAGCCUCACUUCAUCAUCCACUCUUCUGCAGACGUCCUUUGUACUGCUGCUACAUGAGCCAUGACUGCAGCCACCUCACUGUGUCAGCUUCACAUUUUUCUCCAUUAGGCUUGUAUUUCCUUACUUACAUGCAAGUUUAAGCAUUGCUUUAUAGCCUCAAGCAGACACCAAUCAUGUGCCUCUCCCUUAUUUAAAUUCAUUUUACAGGCCAACGCAGCACAAGAUUCUGUAAAGUAUGGCUGUAACUGAGGUCCUGCUUUGAGAGUCGGUGUUUUGGUCUGUGUCAUGAACUAUAUAGACCUCAUUGGCCUUAAAAUCCAAAUAAUUAUCACCCAUGCUGAUACCACCUUUGUGAAAAGGGCGAUUUCUUUCAGUUCAUAUUGGGUCAUUUAAGAAGGAGGCUCUAAACCUGACACUCACUUCUCUUUCCUGAGUAGUGCAUGAUUAACACUUGCUCUGGAUUUUUGAACAAGUGGGAUUUGCACCCCUUUGUGGAAGGGAGUGUAGCCCACCUGGUUGUUGCAUGAGUGGCUAUUUUCUCAUUUUAGAGAAGAUGGUAUUGCAAUUCACUGCUCAGCAGGAGACAGGUCCACAGCCUAAGAGACCUCUGAUUCCCUAAGAUAUCUCUGUUCUCCCCAGGAAUCUCUGUGGCUGGAGAGUGGGGAGAGCCUUGCUGUGAAAUGAUGGAAGUGGUGCGUGCCUCUUCUCCCAGAAAAAAACCUAGGUAGCUAAGUGGAUCAGGUAUAAAGUGUAGAUAGAGAAAGCACAAUGAGUUUACUUUUUUUAAGUAGUUGUCUACCCAGGGUGCAAAUUCUAAACCCUCUAAAAAGGCCAGUUGUGAUAACAAAUGUUUAUAAAAAUAACGUAGCUGAUCUUAGAGGGGAAGUUCAGGGUGUGUUUUGUUAAUCUUAGGAGGUCUGCACAAAAUUAAUUUAUUACUUAUUUUUACACUGGAUAAUUUUCAGGCUGGUUUUUUUUUAACACGGCUGCUAAUGUAACAAUAGGAUGGGACUGAACUGUUAGCAGCCUCAGGCACUGUCCAAUGAUUCACCAAAGCAUUUCACUUGUACUACAGCUGAUAUUUGUGUGACAUUCAGCAUGCCAGACUGGAACAUUCAAUAUUUGGGACUCGGAUUCCUCCCAGACAGAAAGGCGCUUAGGAGAGGCUUCAGCCUAUCUCUGGGCUCCUUCCUUUAACAAAAAUCUGAUUAAAUUAAUUAUGUUUUGUGAGAAAAAAAAAAGGAAUAGAAAAAACAACAUAUGAGAUGUCAGUGAAAAGAAAUAGAAAAAGCUUUCUGAGCAAAAGGCUUGAAACAAUGGAUUCCUGCCAUCUUAGCUGUCUCACCUUUCCUACUGGCUCAGCUGUGAUUUACAUUUCUAUUCAUAAAAGAGUGAUCCUGAUGUGAAACAGCUCUGCAAAUAACCAGAGCAAGAUUCAUGCAUCCUUUCACAAUAUUCCAGCUCAAUAUUUUAGUGGAAUAAAAACUGAAGAAAAGGAUAUUUUUUUAAUUGAUGUUUUCUUUGGAAACUGGGCGAUGGGGCUAUUUCUUCAGAACUGCCUUGGAAGAUGUAGUAGUGCACGGACUGGAUGCUCCAGAAGGGUAGGCUCUUUCUGCAAAACACCACCCACAUUCCAGCUUUCUUACCUGAGCAAUUUUUUUUAAUGCCAAAUACUUUUUCUGACAAGAUUUACAGGGGUCUUAAAGAAUCUCACCAAAAAUCAGAUUGGUAAAAUGUCUAAUGGCCCUUCCUCCAUCUGGUACAGAAGGGAGUUAACAGCAUAACGAUGCUAGAAUGUUUAGCAGUUCAUGUGAUUGCACAAACGUUUCUUUUAUUCCUAGAAAUGGGAAUCAAAAAGGGUUUUAUGAGCUUGACAGAUUGCCCCAUUCUACACUGUCCAUUGCUCAUUUCACCUCCAACGAUACACAGCUGCAACAUGUUUGAUGUGCCUGUGAACCUGAAUCAAAGCAAUGAACAUCUUCUUAAAUAUUUCUGUAACAAAACCUGCUCAAUAGACUAAAUUAUCUACAGGAGGAGUCCUACAGGAAGCACCUGCACUUUGGUAUUUAGUUCAGCAUUGUGUUUCCUAAUGCUGCUGACCUGUUCUGUGAUCUUGAAAAAAAAAGGUUUUUUAUUUGUUUCCUCUCAGAUCCCAUCACUCUUUUGUCUCCUUACAGGCUGAGCACUUCAUAGCAGAAUCUGUCUCAUCCCCUUUGUUUGUAGGAGGCUCUGUGUGGCUCAGUCAAAGCCCAUAGAGAGUGAUGUCAUAUGAAUAGUGCUUGUCACCUGGGCAGAACAAUGGAGAGGUCUGUCUGAUUUUCCCCCCUGUCUGUUGUGCCACAGGACCAUUUUAUGGUGUUGUGAAAGCUGAUGAUGUGAGCGAAGAGAUCAAACCUCACCUUGGGAUGCUGCUGCAGUUCCUGGUUGCUGGCACAGUAAUGCAGAAAUGCAGAUGAAUUUCCUGCUGAUGCCUGGACUAGAUGCAAUAUAAAGCAGCUUGAAGGAAGAUUUGUUCAAUUCCAUCUUCAAAGAAGCAGGAGGUAUUUUUGUUGAAAGAGGAGCACCAGCAUGGUCCCCUGUAAAGGUGCAGGUGCUGCUCUGAGGCAUGAGCUCCAGUAAGUGAAGUUAAAUCUAUGGGGAGCAGCAGAGUUAAGGAAGCCUAGCUUCUAAUGCCUUCAUUGCAGCGCUAGAAUUCCCUAUGCCUUCCAUACUUACUCUUACAAUACCCUCCAGUCCACUUCAAAUCCUCUACUGGGCUGUGUAGCAGACAGCAAAGGCUGGACAUGGUGCCUGGACACCAGACUCACUAGGGGCUCUUUGAUGCCUGCUGGGGAGCCCAUCAGGGGUGCCACCCCAGUCUGUGUGCCUGCAGAACAUCAGCAAGAGCACUUUCCAACCACAAGGACUGCUCUGAAGAGACAAUGUUUUGGGCUGACACAACGGGCACUGAAGUCAAGCAGCUCACCAGAAGAGAGAGGAGAGAAUUUCAUACUGAGAUGUUCUGAACUGUAAAUGAAAGAAGAGUGUAUGAAAAAGGAAGACAGUUUUCUGUAGCUUGGAUCAGUCUCAGCUGUUAAGAGUCUAGUUUGUACAACACCUCAGUCCUGGAGUAUUUAGGCUUUCUAUGUAACCAAGCUACCUGGCUUUGGGCUGUUCUGUUGCAUGGGGCUUCUUACAGAUCAAAAACUUGGUGGCAUGUAGUAUUUCUUUGAAAGUUUAAUGGGGAUGAAAACCAUAUGAAGGUAAUGAGAUAAAAAUCUCAUGACAUCUGUUUGCACUUUUAAAAAUUGCAUGAAAACUGAAAGCAUGCAAAUAAGCUCAGCAUUUGAAGAGUGAUGAGCAGUGUUCCUGCUGCUUGUGUGUCAGCCUGGAGCUGCUAAUGACUAGACAGGCUAUAACUGCAGCUGAGAGAAAGCCAUGAGGAAACAGCACUUGAUUAAUAAAGCAAAAUGCCAGCUUUCAGUACUGCUGGAGUGCCCGGACAGGUGGGGUAUGACAGUCUUGAGCAGUCCUGAGAACUGCUGACUCCACCAAGCUGGCUCAACACAAAGCUCAUAGUGACUCUGGAGCAGACAAUCUUUUGCUUCUCUUUCAAACCAUUCUGACACUAUCUAACCCUUUUCCUACACCUGAAUGUCCAGGGGUUAUUCCAGACUGUCACCAUGACAGCCAGGUCAUCCCCAGGCUUGUAGCUGGUGGAAUCAGGCAAUCAAAUGCGGGAUGCUCCAGGUUUCUGCACAGGUGCUGCAGACAUUAAAGCAUGGGAGGUCGUGGCAGGUGUACUAGCCAAAGCCUGAAACUGUGCUUGGAGCACCAGAGAAGAAAAGUAAGGAGACCAAUGGAAAUAUGCAUGUGGAAUGAAUCCCUCUUUCCAUCCUAUGUCCAACAGUAGCCAGCACCAGGUUUCCUAGAAAAGAUGUCAGGGCUUGGAGGGGUCAAGUGUGGAGUAAGCACAUCUCUGCCCCUCAUCCUCUGUCAUGGGUAUACCUGCCAGCUAAGCAGCUCAGUCAAUGAGCAGCCAAAGACAGGUCCUGGAGCAGGAUAACUCAUGCUCCUUCUGACACAAGUGGUCAUUGUUUGCAGCGUUUCUGAGCCUUGCUGACUGCCUUCAAAAUUAUAGAAGUUGGCCUGAUGGCACAGAGAUAACUGAAGUCAGACAUACUCCCCCCGCUCCCUGAGAGGGAAGCUCCCUAGGCCAACUCUGAGAAGCCAGCAACAAGAAUUAGAAGAAAAAAUUGCAUAACUUACUGUUAUUUGCAAUGGCCCGGUGCCUUCCAGCUACCCAGGCCCUUUCUGAGUACUGCUGAGUUUAUGGCUGGUGUUAAAAUAUGUGUAUUCCACUGGAAUUCCCCAUUCUUUAACUCUUUUUCCUCCAUCACUUUUGUGCUUAUGAGAGAAAAUGGCAGGUGUUCCCAGCUGUCCCCUUAAAGACCACUGGCACACUCAUACUGAUGACUCUAUUUCUCUUUCUCCUUGAGGCAGUGUUCAUCCUGGAACAUUCAGGGUCGUGCCACUAUCACUGUGUUAUAUCCCAAAGGGGUGGGUGAGCAGACCUGUAGCUCAUAGCAGCUGACACAAAGGUGUUGGGACCUCAGCAGUGGUCCCACCAUGACUACAGUGCCAGCCUCCUCCCCAGGCAUUGCUACACAUCACUUAGAGCCCCAUAAAGCCCACGAGUCAGAGAAGGGUUCCAGGAUGCUUUUAUUUGUUUUCAUCCCCCUGACUUUCUCUUGCAACAGGGAUCCCUCUUCACUGAACCACUGAGGAGUGUCUCCCCAAGCUUUGUCAAGUCCUUUCUCAUGCAGGAGGCAUUUGCAUCACUUUUAUCUCCUUAUACAUCUUCCUUACCUCAUUACACAUCCUUCUUGCCUUCUUGUAUUAUUUUACAUCUUCCUUUCUAGAUCAUUAAAGCAAUCACCACAUUGCAAUGAAGCGGGGCUGCUGACCAGUGAAGGAGCCUUGCCAGGAGGAAAGUGGAAUGAAGGAUAAGUAUUAUUAGGUGCCAGCAUGUCAGGCUCUGGGAUCAGGGAAAUUCAGGAGUAUUGUAUAAUGCAAGGGAUCUCAAGAUGCUAAAAAUACAGACUUGUCAACAAAUGCAACAGUGCAGAUUUGUAGAAGAGCUGGGAGGGUGAGUGAACAGAAAUCCCAACAACCCCAGACAGUUCCAUGUGAUACAUCUAUCAGCCUCUGACUUCAGGGCUUUACUAAGGGAAUUUGGAAAACACACUAUAUCCCAUUAAUUCUGGCUGGAAAGCUCUUCUUGAGUUAGCUGACUGUUCUCUUCAGGUCAGUCUAGCAAAGAAAAACUCCUCCUGACUUGAGGGCCUAAGAUAGCAGCUCUUGGGUUCUGCAUCAGGACAGUACCUGUGGGAAGGGAGAGCCUAAGAGAGGCUCUGUUAGAGCCCAGAACCGAGAAAAUGGAUGAUAAAAUGAGGGGACAGCCAUCACAUGGAUAGAGAGCUGAUAGAGCUUCACUCCAAGAUCUUUUAAAGUCAGUUGCAUGUAAGCACUUUCUUUGAAGUAAGUGCAAGCAGUUCUCUGAGUAAGAACUCAGAAGCAGAAUUGGGCAAGGCUUGAUGGUACAAAUGUGACUGCAGUCAGGAAAUACUCUCUCUUUUCCUUGAGAUACAAACUCACUAACCUCUGUGGGAUGGGGGGGACAACACUGGAAAUGAGAGCAAGAAUUGCACAACACCCUGUGACAGAAACCAGGCUUGACUCCCAGCCAGUGUAAAUUUGAACUAAAUGCUAUACUGGAUCAAAAGUCCACCGAGUUCAUUCUCCUAGCUUUGACAGCAACUAAAGUAUAAAAACUGGGCCUUGACAGAGGGAUCUUUUCCCUUCUGCACCCUUUUAGCACCUGACAGCUUGCACUGCAGAUAUGUCCAGAGAUGGAGCUUUGGCUAGACCACUAUAUUUGACCAUGAGAGGCUUCUCAUCAUCUGUUGUGCUGUUUGAGGCACUGAGAUGGUUGUUUUCCACAAUAUCCCACAGCAAUGAGUUCCAUGGGGUGGUUAUAUCCCAUGUUAAAGGGGGUAACUGGGUAGGUAGAGAGGCCAAACGAAUGUUUACUGCCUGAACCACUACCCAACCCCCCUUCCCCCCUUCUCAACAUACACAGAAUUAAAAACUAUGAACCUUUCAGUCAGUGCUUAUGAAGAAAUCCCACAGCUGUACCACACAGAAAAAAUGGGAAAGUCCAAGUUUGAGACGGGUUGUUGGUCAUUCCACAAGAGUAACAUCUUCAUGGGAAUUUUGCCAACUAAAUUCAAUUGUGAUGCUGCAAAAAUGUUGUGUAAAUAAUGUUUCUGUGAUACAUGUGUUGCAAGUUAUUACCAAGCCAUAAAGGAUCUGGGAAAGAAGAAACCGAAACACAAAAUGCUCUGUGAUGCCAGAACACCUUCUGGAAUUAAGGCUCCCAGCCACACCUGAGGAGGAAUGAAUACCUGUACUAGCCAUGGAAAUGGCUGCCUGUUAGAAGAACAGAGCUGCCGCACCUGAGAAGGAUUUCUGCUUUGCCAAAACUUGGCCUACUAAAAAAGCUACACGGAUGUGGUCCUGAUGCAUGGCACAGAUGCUGCUGCAGCUUGGUGAGUUGGAAGGAGGCAGAGGAGAUGUAGAAUGCAAACCAUCCAUCUGGCUGGGACGGCUGAAUCCUCAGGUGCAGGCUGUUCUCUGGGAAGUUGAAGCCAAGCGUCCCUGAACUCCAUCAGAUUUUCCCCAUCAAUUUUCCAGGAGUUUGGGAUCAUCUUUCAGUGGUCCAGAUCUGCACCACCUGGCAGCUAUUGAUAUCAAGUUAGGAGAAUGAAGAUGAAUGGUCCAGAGGAAUAUUCAAUUACAUGGUUUCCUUCCCAAAGCACCUGUCUAGAGAUGGAUGGGCACUCCCUCUGUUUCUGGAAGCCACUGCUGCUGAAUCAGAAUCAGCUGGUUGCGUUGGAAUACAGAGGUAAUACCCAGAGGGAAACCUGUGCUCUGCAGAGCCUGACUUCUCAAGACCCUGUGAGCAAGAGUGUCAAGAGACAAGCUCUCAACAGUCUGCCUUGUUCUGGAUGUGCAACUGCUCCCCACCCCUAGCAAAGAGCUUCAGCACAGAGAUAAGGGAAGAACUUUCUCCUGAUAAGCAACAUUUCUCAUUCCACCCUCUGUAACUAAGCACAUGCUCAGCUUGACUAGGACUUCCCUUGUGAUCCUGAAGCUUCACCUCUGCACUCCUGAAUUGUCUUUAUCCAUCAGCAUCCCAAGGGCGUUGCUGUGGUACUUACAAUCCGCCUCUGCUUUAGGCGCAGGAGCAUUUUCUUUCUCCAUGUCAUGAUGCAGGAGUGCACAGCUUUGGGAAGUGACAAGUAGUAGGUUUCUUCAUGGUCUUUGAAGCAUUUGGUAGAUAUUUUGAUGGCUUUCUACUACUUAGCAUGGAAUAUUUGCAUCCUCUAUGAUACAUGAGAGAAUUCACUAAGAAAUGAUGACUCACUACCCAAAAUCUUUCACUGAAUCUCAGUCUUUUCUCCAGAAGUUUAUUCUAUUCUAUUCCCAGCAUGUGAGAUGUGGUGUUUCUUGCUCCUGUAAAUGUUCUAGUGAACCAUUAUUUUCAUUAGCAUUAGACAAACAGGGUUUUGAACACCACUAUUACUCUCCUUUACCAGUCUCACCCCACUUCUAUUUUUCCUUUUCAUUGGCUUCUAAGCAAGCACUUUAAAAUGUGUCUUUCCUAGACAAAUGCGUUACGGAAGGAGUCUGGUCUCCAUACCUGCCAGCAGUAGUAAUCCAGCUCUCAGCGCUAAAGAUAAGACAAGUAAACUGAAAAUUUGAGUGAACCUACUCCAAGAGCUCAGGGAAAAGAAUGAAAAAACUUCCAAUUAUUUCCAUAGCGGGGUAGCAAGCUUCUACUUGGAUACAGAACAAAAUAAAAAAUCACUCUGUAGCAGGAGGGACUCAAAUACAUAUAUUGAAAUAAUACAAGCAGAGAAGAACAGUAUACUGGGAGAGAAAAGUGGUCAAAGAGGGGAGAAAGAAGUUGUCUUUAGUGGACAAUAUUCUGAGAGUUGGGGUCAUUUAAAACCAUAUGAGCCCACAGACCACAAGCCAGACUGGGGGAACUAUCUAUCUUUUGACUUACUGGAAUGUGAUGAUAGAAUGAAAUAUAAACAAUUUAGCCAUCAUCAAGACAGUCUUCUUGGUUCCAUCAAAAUCUCACCUAGGGCCACACACUUUGCUUCCUAAAUUGUGACCAUACUCAGCAGACACUGGAGUUAUUAUUAGACAUUUUUUAAGAAACCAAGUCGAGAAGAUCAAAAGUGCUUUUCUUUGCUGGGCACAAGCAUAUAUGAAGAGAGACAGCCCCUGGAUUUGGGAAUCUGUAAAGAUACAGGUGGGAGACAGGAAGUGCAAUUCUUCUAUUGCUGCAGAAGUCCAGGCAUGGAGGAGAACAUGCAUGCAAUCAAAGACCAUUAAUGGCAAAGCUCAGAGCUGGAGUCAAGUAUGGUACUCUCCAUUACUGUUGCUUAUACCAUAAGUUCUUCUUGCCUCUUUGAAGUUUCCUGAUAGAACCUAACUCUUCUGUAGGCACACCCCAAAGGUGGUGAUAGUUAUUGUUUAUAGACUUAAUUUUCUACAUCUAAUUCUGGCCCUAGUGAAAAGCAGUAUAAAUUCUGAGACAUCACCUCGACAGAUAUAGAAGUUUGGUGCUCACAUCUCACCCUGUGCAUAGAUUUCUAGAGAACACAGCACACAGAUGAUAAAAUCAGUGCCAGCAGAUGUAAGGAAAACUCCAUUGAUACUCCGGUUCUUGCUCCGGGAUUGCCCACAUGCCAAACUUUAAGUAGCUUGGGCAUUGUGGAGAAAUUGCCCCAAGGCCAUUUCUCAUUAUCUGUCUCCUCAGAAGGAGAGUGGUCAUUAGGCAAUGCUAACGAAGGUUUUAGCCUUGAUCAGGCACUGAGGAAGGAGACUUUCUCUGGUCACAGCCACAGUGGGUCAGCCCACCUCACUGGCUGCUUAUGAAAGCCACUGUCAGAAUUACAGAUGGAAAAUGCAUGACAAGAUCUGACUGUUACAGCCACAAGGACCACAGUGGCUGAUCUCGUCACAUCACUUGCAAAACCCAACACACAGAGCUAUGCCUGGCCAGCUGUCAGUCCAGAUGUUUUGUUCUUCCCCAGUACUUAUCAAACCCAGCACAUUCUGGUAAACUAGACCACGUACUUUAGCAAUUAUCCCACACUGGAUGUAAAGAGUCCAAGUGAUGACAAAUUCACCGUUUUUCUCAGGAAAUGAUUUCAGUUAUUUCUUUCCUGAAAUCUUAAAAAACCCCCCACCCCUGCAUCUUACUUUCAGCUUGAAUUUUAUGAGUUCCAUUUUCUGGGUUGGACUUUAUUAGGGUUUUGUCUGUGGGGUAAUAGACCUUCCUGCUCUUGGGUGCAUUUUUCUUUAGUAGAACAUUAAAAUACCAUAGUGUCCCUUAGUUUCUUCUGAUAAAUUAUAUGGGAUCCUGAAGAAUUUAUUAUCUUAGAUAGUAUCUUAGAGAUUGUAUGUAAUUUCUGCAGCUCAUUUCUAAACCUUUCCAAGUCAUUCUGCUUCCCUUUUGUAAUGUGGGUAAAUGUUUUGUCAAUGUCAUGCCAGUGGGAAAUGUUCUUUCUGCUACUCCAUAUCUCCUUAAUUAUCUUCCAGGAGGAAUAAGUUAGGCUUUUUUGCUCUGCCAAGAGCCAGCUUCCAGUGAAUUAUCUGCGUUACCCUCCAGAGCUCCUCAAAGUCACUGCUUUCCAGUAUGCAACCUCAUAAACACAUAAAGCUUGUCUAUAUGGACUACUCCCUGCAAUAUUCAUCUAGGACAGAACUUAUGACACACAUCACCUGAUUGCUGACUGAUUAUGAACAGCAGGAAUCACUUUGUAUCACUGAUCUGCUCUUACUGCCGCUUUGCUUUUCCAGUUUUCUACUCAGAAACUCCCCAGCAUGGGGAGCAUUGAAAUGCUGUCCUAGCAUUCUGCUGUCUUCCAGAAUAGGGAAUAACUCAUAUUCCAGUCCACUUCCUUUCCCUGCCUCACUCACAUUCACCUGACACUGUUAUUUUUUUGCUAUGUUUGUGCCAACCAGGUUUUAAUAAAUUUUCUUCCUUUAUUUUUUCCCCA